This 815-nucleotide long non-coding RNA is filed under the name Gossypium barbadense (sea-island cotton). Its description in RNAcentral is "long non-coding RNA (GBAR_LNC007134)". The record is from RNAcentral. Lineage: Eukaryota; Viridiplantae; Streptophyta; Magnoliopsida; Malvales; Malvaceae.
AGACAUGCCCGUGUCUCAGGCCGUGUGGGCAUUCGAAAUAGGGGUACACAGCCGUGUCUCAUCUCGUGUCCAAACUUGUGAGCUCUUUGACUUGAGUCACACGGCCAAGCCAUACGCCCAUGUGCUAGGCCAUGUGAGCAUUCUGUUUUGUGCAAAUUUAAGAGACAAGGGACACACGGCGAUGUCAUCUGGCCGUAUGUCACACACAAUUGAGACACAUGCCCAUGUCUCUACUCGUGUGGACGAAAAUAGGUCAUUUCACAGGUCAUAUUUCUCACCCAAUUUUGUCUCAACCUACAAUCAACACUAUACAUAUUAAUGAGCCAUAAUUAGGCAUCCAAAACAAGCCAAAAUAAGUGGCGAAUCUCAACAAGUUACAUCUAGACAAACAUUAACCAAAAAAAAUUAUAUAUGCCAUUAUAACCAAAAACAAAACAUUCAAAAGUACCAAUAAAACCAAUGGAUAGCGUGAUAUAUCUCCGACAAGCUUCCAACUUAAUCGAGCUCCUGAUAAUCUAAAAAGUAAAGGAAAACAAAUACAUAAGCAAUGAUUGCUUAGUAAACUCGUAUAAACUUUGAUCAUAUCAAUUCAUUUUAAAUAAGAAAUUUAUACAUAUCAAGAAUAAUCCAAUAUUGAUACCACAAUAUUCAUGAAGUAUAUUCAAUAACUUUAAUUCUUCCAAAUUUCUAAAUUUUCAUUUGCGUUUUUUUACUUUCCACACUCAUUCCAUAUGAAUAACACACCAGUCAUAAGCAUACCAUACCACCAUAACCACAAGCUAGUGCAUUCGAACAUAGCCCUUUUCAAAUUUAAC